GACGAACGCUGGCGGCGUGCUUAACACAUGCAAGUCGAACGGAAAGGCCCUGCUUUUGUGGGGUGCUCGAGUGGCGAACGGGUGAGUAACACGUGAGUAACCUGCCCUUGACUUUGGGAUAACUUCAGGAAACUGGGGCUAAUACCGGAUAGGAGCUCCUGCUGCAUGGUGGGGGUUGGAAAGUUUCGGCGGUUGGGGAUGGACUCGCGGCUUAUCAGCUUGGUGGUGGGGUAGUGGCUUACCAAGGCUUUGACGGGUAGCCGGCCUGAGAGGGUGACCGGCCACAUUGGGACUGGGGUACGGCCCAGCCUCCUACGGGAGGCAGCAGUGGGGUAUAUUGCACAAUGGGCGGAAGCCUGAUGCAGCAACGCCGCGUGCGGGAUGACGGCCUUCGGGUUGUAAACCGCUUUCGCCUGUGACGAAGCGUGAGUGACGGUAAUGGGUAAAGAAGCACCGGCUAACUACGAG
RNAcentral lists this ribosomal RNA (468 nucleotides) under uncultured bacterium. Its description in RNAcentral is "partial 16S ribosomal RNA". It matches the Rfam family "Bacterial small subunit ribosomal RNA", at positions 28 to 507 of the family's 1533-position model. The record is from RNAcentral.